Molecule: long non-coding RNA, 566 nt
Filed under: Sarcophilus harrisii (Tasmanian devil)
Lineage: Eukaryota; Metazoa; Chordata; Mammalia; Dasyuromorphia; Dasyuridae
Description: lncRNA (ENSSHAG00000022928.1)
Source: RNAcentral
GAAUUUUUCAAGAGACAAAUUUCAGCCUGAUAUAGGAAGAAUCUGCAAGUUAAUUAGAGCCACUCAGAAGACAAUGAGAGGUCACUCCUUUCCAGAUGAGGAAACUGAAGCAGAUAAUGAGCACAGCUGGUCUGAGAGGACUGGGAUCAGGGAGUCGCAGCCACAGACACUGAGAAGACUCCAGACUCCAGACUCCAGACUCCAGACUCCAUCUUUGACCAGCCUCAUGGUGACCUUCCUGCCUUCAUCACUUCUCCACCUAAAGACCAAGGCCAGUCCAGAUAUCCUCCAGAAAGCUAGCACAGACACUACAAAAUUCAGUAGGAAAAAAUCCAGUCAUGAUGUUUCCCUUACCUUCUUUUGACUUCAUGAGUCUACCAGUGGACCUUGGGGCUAUCCAUCAAUUUUCCUCUCUCUUACCAUAUAAGUAACCAACAAUUUUAGAUCAUUCAUUUCUUUAAUCACCUCCUUUACUUCAAGGCUCCUUCAUAAUACCUUGUUUGUGAUGUGCUUCUGCUUGCUGAAACCCAAUGAUGUGACCCUCCAUGGCUCUUUAGAUGAUCAUC